CUUGAAUCAAAAUUUUCUUAUUUCGUGACUCUUCUCUUAGUUUAGAGUAUAUAUCAGCAAAAUUAUGAUAAGUCCUUACGUUGUAACAUUAUUUCAUCUGCUUUUAUUGUAUUCCUUUGGAUUUUCAGUUGGAUUCAAGGAAUCACGUAAAAGUGGUGAAAGCAACUGCAGAGAGAAUGAGAGACAAGCACUCCUCAACUUCAAACAAAGCCUCAUUGAUCACUAUGGCAGACUGUCUACAUGGACUGAUCAUCAAAAUAAUACAGAUUGCUGCAAUUGGGAAGGCAUUCAAUGCAACCAUCAAACUGGUCAUGUCAUUCUACUUGAUCUUCGUUGUCUGGAUACAAAAUAUUUGAAAGGUGCAAUAAAUCUCACUUCAUUGAUUCACUUGCAAUACAUUCAACAUCUAGACCUCAGCAAUAAUGAUUUUAUGUGGACUCACAUCCCACAAGCCAUUGGCUCUUUCACCAACUUACAAUAUCUCAACUUCUCAUUUUCUGAAUUUAGUGGGAUGAUUCCUUUCCAACUUGGAAAUCUUUCACUACUAAGGUAUCUAGACCUUGGAAGAAAUCAUCUUCGUGGAACAGUUCCUUUUCAGAUUGGGAAUCUUAGACAGUUACAAUAUCUUGAUCUUGCAAGUAACAGUCUUUCUGGAGCUAUCCCUUUUCGGAAUGAGAAUCUUCCUCUCUUACAAACUCUUGGGCUAGGUGGUGAUUUUGAUAUAAAAGCCGAGGAUUCACAGUGGUUGUCUAAUCUCCAUUUUUUAAGAAGUCUUCACUUGAGCUCAUUGCAUAAUCUCAACUCCUCGCGCCAGUGGCUACAAGCUAUCAGUGACCUCAUUCCAAACUUAGUAGAGUUGAGGCUUUUUGAUUGUUCUCUUUCAGAUACUAAUAUCAAAUCUUUGUUUCGUUCUCAUUCGAACUUUUCAACUUCUCUUGCUGUCCUUGAUUUGUCUUAUAAUGUGUUAACUUCCUCAACAUUUCAACUGUUAUUCAAUUUUAGCCUUCAUCUACAAGAGCUUUAUCUCACAGAUAAUGACAUUGCCUUGUCAUCUUUUCUGUAUCCAAAUUUUCCAUCUCUUAAUAUCCUUGAUCUCUCUAGAAAUAAUCUAACAGCAUCAGUAUUUGGAGAUAAUUUUAAUGUUCGCUCCAAACUACGGGAGCUUCGUUUGUAUAAUUGCAGUUUUACAGAUAAAAGUUUUCCUAUUUCCUCUGCUUCCACAAUUAAUUCUUCAUCUUCUCUUGUCGUACUUGAUCUCUCCUCAAAUCUAUUGAAAUCAUCUACUGUGUUUUAUUGGCUUCUGAAUUACACCACGAAUCUUCAAACCCUUUUACUUUUUGACAACCUGCUAGAAGGUCCCAUUCCAGAUGGAUUUGGAGAAGUAAUGAACUCUCUUGAACAAUUCUAUGCCUACGGGAACAGACUACAAGGAAAGAUUCCAUCUUUCUUUGGAAACAUGUGCAGACUGCGGACCUUAGACCUUUCAAAUAAUAAGUUGAAUGGGGAAAUUUCUCAUUUCUUUCAAAAUUCUUCAUGGUGCAAUAGACACGUAUUUCAAAAUUUGGAUUUAUCAUAUAACCAAAUUACAGGAAAGAUACCAAAAAGCAUCAUAUUGCUAUCUGAGUUGGAGGAUCUAAAUUUGGAGGGAAAUUCUUUAGAGGGUGAAGUCACUGAAUCUCAUCUUUCUAAUUUUUCCAAAUUAGAAACUUUAUCCCUAUCAUACAACACAUUGUCUCUAAGAUUUGUCUCUAAUUGGGUUCCUCCUUUCCAAGCAACAAUAUUGAGUUUAGCGUCUUGCAAGCUAGGUCCGAGUUUUCCUGUUUGGCUCCGGACACAGAAUUCUUUAAUGUCGCUAGAUAUAUCUGAUAACGACCUUAGUGAUUCUAUACCAGCAUGGUUUUGGAACAAAUUGCAAAAUUUGGGAUGGUUAAAUAUGUCUCACAAUAAUCUCAAUGGUGCAAUUCCUGAUAUACCAUUAAAGCUUCCUUAUGGACCAUCUAUAAUUCUGAAUUCAAAUCAAUUUGAGGGAGCACUUCCACCAUUUUUUCUACAAGCUUCAGGGCUGUUCCUCUCUCAAAAUAGAAUUUCUGAUUUGCAUUCUUUUUUGUGUAACCAAAUCAUUGCUCCGAAUUUGGCAACUUUAGAUUUAUCAAACAAUCACAUAACAGCACAAAUUCCUGAUUGUUGGCAAUCUUUACACCAAUUACUAUUUCUUGAUUUGAGCGAGAAUCACUACUAGAAAAAUGGUAUUUAUAUACGGAAUUUUUUAUACGGAUUUUUAUCCGUAUAUAAUGUGAAUUUUACAUACGGAAUUUUUAUACGGAUAUGAAUAAUGGCAAUACAUACGGAUUUUCCGUAUGUAAUUGGGGGAAAAUUUUAUAUACGGAUUAUCCCUCUGUAAUAUCGGUAUGUAAUUAAAAAAAUUAGCACGUGCACUGUUCUUAGAGUCUUCUCAGUCUCGAUUGUUUCUUACUUUCGAUUCUUCUCACUCUCCAGCCCUAACCUUCUCCCCCUUACUCUUCUCAUUAUGCAUCCCUAACAUUCUCCCUGCACUGUCUUCUUCCCUCCACUCAUUCUCCGUGUCCGAUUGCAACUCUGUUAGUCUUGAGCUCACACUCCUUCUCGAACGUAGUUGGCAUUCGUUCUCCGAAAUCGCUUUCACUGAAACGGUAACUUGGCAUUCGUUCUCCGAAUCGUAGUGUGGCAUUGCAGGCAUCGUUUUCCCUGAGUCGAACCGUAGUUGUCAUCAUCCUCGAAUCCCGGUUUGAAAUUGUGAUUAAGGAAACGUAGGUUGGUUUCGUCGAUGUGGAAGAUAUAAGCUGGAGCUGGCAUUCUCUUCUACACCUUAUGCAGAAUUUGUGUUUGGAAUGCAUUUGACGAAAGCUUAGUAUACUCAUUGACUGGGCAUAUUGAAUCUGUAAGUGUUUAAGCCUCUUCAAACCAAGUUUUAAGUACUAAACUUAGCUGAAGAUCUUGGCAGGAGAUUGUUAGCUGUAUUCGAUACUCCUACAGAGAAAGGUUUCAUGGAGGUCUAACCAUGAAGAAAAGGUGAAAAAAAAUUUCCACACAAAAGCAUCUCAUAGAUUAUCUGAGAUGUUUAAAAAAGCUCGAACAGAAGGAAAAAAACCUGAUUGGAUGGGGG
Molecule: RNA transcript, 3142 nt
Organism: Vigna angularis (adzuki bean)
Lineage: Eukaryota; Viridiplantae; Streptophyta; Magnoliopsida; Fabales; Fabaceae
Exons: 5
Source: RefSeq, a predicted model, not a curated record